UUGGAUGAAAAAUAAUACCAUGCACCAUCGGUACCAUAUAUUUUUUUUUCUCUCUCUCUCUCCCCAUCAUCUACCGGCUUUGUAACUCUAUUUUCUUUCAUCUCUUCAUUCAAUUGUUUUUGUUCACAGAUUAAUUAAACACAAAAUUCACAACUACUUCUAUAAUUUGCUAUUUCUUAUGAAAACUUCAAUCUUCAGCACAGGUAAAGCUAACACAUACAAGACCAAUUUUUAUCAAAUAAAAAAUACAAGACCAAAGUCAAAUACAAAGCUUCACAAAUACAAAGCUUCACAAAACAAAUACAGGAAAUAAAUAAAAAUGGCACCCCAAAAGAAACUAAAACACCCAACAUCAUGAAAAGCACCAAGACAAAGAUGAUUCCAAAGCUAAUAGGAAGGCCAGCACNNAACAAAACACAAAACAUUAGUCUUUAAAGCAAUACACCACCCAUAAACAAGAUAGGUUCUUUAGUUGAUUUUGUGUUGGAAUCAAUAGGCCUUAAAUUGAUUUUGUUCUUCGAUUGUUUAAUUGGAUUUUUCUAUAUUCACUUAUGAGUUUUUAUAUGGAUGUAUAGAUAUAGUGAUUGGUUUUAUAUAUAUAUAUAUCCUUGGUUUGAAAUUUGAAUAAAAUUAAUAAGAGAUUAAAUUGGGAGGUUUGUGUAUUAUUAUUGAUUUAUAGAAAAUAAAGAGAGUGUGGAUGUGAGUAGAAGAAAGGAAGCAAGAUACAAGAACAAGAAAUGCAGACGGAUGAGAGAAAUG
This 759-nucleotide long non-coding RNA is filed under the name Trifolium pratense (red clover). RNAcentral's name for it is "long non-coding RNA (TPRA_LNC001230)". Lineage: Eukaryota; Viridiplantae; Streptophyta; Magnoliopsida; Fabales; Fabaceae. The record is from RNAcentral.